This 400-nucleotide ribosomal RNA is filed under the name Theileria annulata. RNAcentral describes it as "SSU rRNA". It matches the Rfam family "Eukaryotic small subunit ribosomal RNA", at positions 471 to 911 of the family's 1831-position model. Lineage: Eukaryota; Apicomplexa; Aconoidasida; Piroplasmida; Theileriidae. The record is from RNAcentral.
CAAGAAAUAACAAUACGGGGCUUAAAGUCUUGUAAUUGGAAUGAUGGGAAUUUAAACCUCUUCCAGAGUAUCAAUUGGAGGGCAAGUCUGGUGCCAGCAGCCGCGGUAAUUCCAGCUCCAAUAGCGUAUAUUAAAAUUGUUGCAGUUAAAAAGCUCGUAGUUGAAUUUCUGCUGCAUUGCUUGUGUCCCUCUGGGGUCUGUGCAUGUGGCUUUUUUCGGACGGAGUUUCUUUGUCUGAAUGUUUACUUUGAGAAAAUUAGAGUGCUCAAAGCAGGCUUUCGCCUUGAAUAGUUUAGCAUGGAAUAAUAAAGUAGGACUUUGGUUCUAUUUUGUUGGUUUUAGGUACCAAAGUAAUGGUUAAUAGGAACAGUUGGGGGCAUUCGUAUUUAACUGUCAGAGG